This 333-nucleotide ribosomal RNA is filed under the name uncultured bacterium. RNAcentral describes it as "bacterial SSU rRNA". It matches the Rfam family "Bacterial small subunit ribosomal RNA", at positions 568 to 898 of the family's 1533-position model. The record is from RNAcentral.
CGCGUAGGCGGUUUUUUAAGUGAGAUGUGCAAUCCCCGAGCUUAACUUGGGAACUGCAUCUCAGACUGGAAGGCUAGAGUGCUGGAGAGGGUGGUAGAAUUCCACGUGUAGCGGUGAAAUGCGUAGAGAUGUGGAGGAAUACCAGUGGCGAAGGCGGCCACCUGGACAGUAACUGACGCUGAGGCGCGAAAGUGUGGGUAGCAAACAGGAUUAGAUACCCUGGUAGUCCACGCUGUAAACGAUGAACACUUGGUGUGGCGGGAGUUGACCCCUGCCGUGCCGUAGCUAACGCGAUAAGUGUUCCGCCUGGGGACGUACGGUCGCAAGGCUGAA